RNAcentral lists this ribosomal RNA (253 nucleotides) under uncultured bacterium. RNAcentral's name for it is "partial 16S ribosomal RNA". It matches the Rfam family "Bacterial small subunit ribosomal RNA", at positions 524 to 776 of the family's 1533-position model. The record is from RNAcentral.
UACAGAGACUGCAAGCGUUAUUCGGAUUCACUGGGCGUAAAGGGUGCGCAGGCGGCCAAGUGUGUUAGGCGUGAAAGCCCGGGGCUUAACCCCGGAAUUGCACCUAAAACUACAUGGCUGGAGCAUUGGAGAGGGUAGCAGAAUUCAUGGUGUAGCAGUGAAAUGCGUAGAUAUCAUGAGGAAUACCAGAGGCGAAGGCGGCUACCUGGACAAUUGCUGACGCUCAGGCACGAAAGCGUGGGGAGCAAAAGGG